GUCAAGUGCAGAAGUAGAAUAUCGGGCUAUAGCUUCAGCAACAUGUGAACUUAUCUGGUUAAGGCAACUCCUUCAAAAAUUGAAGUAUGGGGAGGUUAAACAAAUGAAAUUGAUAUGUGACAAUCAAGCUGCCCUACAUAUCGCCUCUAAUCUAGUUUUCAACGAAAGAACUAAACAUAUUGAGGUGGAUUGUCACUUUAUCAAAUAGAAGAUUGAGUCUGGAUAUAUUAUCACCAGUUUUGUCAAUUCAAAUGAUCAAUUGGCAGAUGUCCUAACUAAAUUUCUUAGGGUCCUCGAAUUGAAUACAUUUGU
RNAcentral lists this unclassified non-coding RNA (312 nucleotides) under Hevea brasiliensis (rubber tree). Lineage: Eukaryota; Viridiplantae; Streptophyta; Magnoliopsida; Malpighiales; Euphorbiaceae. The record is from RNAcentral.